CCAUCAGAAGCCAUCUAUGCGAGCUAGCACUCCCACAAAAAGCUGAUCAGUUCGAGGGUUUGAUGUAGAAGAUCCAUAGAGUCCAAAAAUCUUGUACGACUGUGAGUGACCAGCAAAAACUUUGAUCCAUGAGUUACAAUUACAGUGUUCAUCUAUCCAUGCUCAAAUAUAGGGUUCGAAACCCUAGUAGCUGUAGAUAUAAUCUAU
Molecule: long non-coding RNA, 207 nt
Filed under: Elaeis guineensis (African oil palm)
Lineage: Eukaryota; Viridiplantae; Streptophyta; Magnoliopsida; Arecales; Arecaceae
Description: long non-coding RNA (EGUI_LNC057111)
Source: RNAcentral